GUGCCAGCAGCCGCGGUAAUACGUAGGGGCCGAGCGUUGUCCGGAGUUAUUGGGCGUAAAGCGCGCGCAGGCGGCUUCGCGCGUCCGACGUGAAAGCCCCCGGCUCAACCGGGGAGGGUCGUUGGGUACGGCGGAGCUUGAGGGCGGUAGAGGUUGGUGGAAUUCCCGGUGUAGUGGUGAAAUGCGUAGAGAUCGGGAGGAACACCUGUGGCGAAGGCGGCCAACUGGGCCGACCCUGACGCUGAGGCGCGAAGGCGUGGGGAGCGAACGGGAUUAGAUACCCUCGUAGUCC
RNAcentral lists this ribosomal RNA (292 nucleotides) under uncultured bacterium. RNAcentral describes it as "partial 16S ribosomal RNA". It matches the Rfam family "Bacterial small subunit ribosomal RNA", at positions 505 to 796 of the family's 1533-position model. The record is from RNAcentral.